Molecule: ribosomal RNA, 495 nt
Filed under: uncultured bacterium
Lineage: Bacteria
Description: partial 16S ribosomal RNA
Rfam family: Bacterial small subunit ribosomal RNA
Source: RNAcentral
GACGAACGCUGGCGGCGUGCCUAAUACAUGCAAGUAGAACGCUGAAGGAGGAGCUUGCUUCUCUGGAUGAGUUGCGAACGGGUGAGGAACGCGUAGGUAACCUGCCUGGUAGCGGGGGAUAACUAUGGGAAACGAUAGCUAAUACCGCAUAAGAGUAGAUGUUGCAGGACAUUUGCUGAAAAGGUGGAAUUGCAUCAAUACCAGAUGGACCUGCGUUGUAUUAGCUAGUUGGUGGGGUAACGGCUCACCAAGGCGACGAUACAUAGCCGACCUGAGAGGGUGAUCGGCCACACUGGGACUGAGACACGGCCCAGACUCCUACGGGAGGCAGCAGUAGGGAAUCUUCGGCAAUGGACGGAAGUCUGACCGAGCAACGCCGCGUGAGUGAAGAAGGUUUUCGGAUCGUAAAGCUCUGUUGUAAGAGAAGAACGAGUGUGAGAGUGGAAAGUUCACACUGUGACGGUAUCUUACCAGAAAGGGACGGCUAACUACGUG